ACUCCUACGGGAGGCAGCAGUGGGAAUAUUGGACAAAUGGGGGAACCCGUAGCUCCAGCCAUGCCGCGUGUGUGAAGAAGGCCUUCGGGUUGUAAAAGCACUUUCAGUGGGGAGGAAAGGUUGAUGGUUAAUACCUAUCAGCUGUGACGUUACCCACAGAAGAAGCACCGGCUAACUCCGUGCCAGCAGCCGCGGUAAUACGGAGGGUGCAAGCGUUAAUCGGAAUUACUGGGCGUAAAGCGUGCGCAGGCGGUCUGUUAAGCGAGAUGUGAAAGCCCC
RNAcentral lists this ribosomal RNA (279 nucleotides) under uncultured bacterium. RNAcentral describes it as "partial 16S ribosomal RNA". It matches the Rfam family "Bacterial small subunit ribosomal RNA", at positions 335 to 604 of the family's 1533-position model. The record is from RNAcentral.